CACGCGGCAGGGACUUGCGAGUCCAGCUCGUGUCUGUGCUCAGAGCGAAUCUGAGCGCGGCUCGCGGCUCUGAUCUUGCUGCUUGGUGCCAGGAACAAACGCUGACCUGAGCGACUCCUGUUUCUAAGAGAUCCCCGGGGGCCCAGUGCCAGGGCUCUCCCUGCUCGGAGACGCUUCGCUUUAAUCCGCUCUGUUCCACCCAGACAAGGGGAAGCAGUGUGCUCCGAGCUGACUCCGGGGGGCGGCAGGGAGCCACGCGCACUGUGCACAGGCACCUUGGCCAGGUCUGUGCGGCGUCGCCGUAGCCGGCGUGGGACUGGGGCCCUGUCUUUGCCCCCGGUGCAGGUGCCGUGUUCCUGAGGAUCCAGCAGGACAGUCCACAGCUCCCGCUCACCUGAACCAACCAUGUGUGCCGAGAGAGGGCCCCGGCAUGUCCCGGGCUCCCCAGGGCCCCCCACAGUGUACCCCCAAGUCACAGGCCGGGCAGUGUCCCUGAAAGCAGGGCCAUAAAGCGAGGAGGGGAAGCCGAGGGAGAAGUGCAGGAGGGGGAACCCACGCAGGGAGGGGGAGAUGGAGGAGGGUGGCCCCAGCCCUGGACUGCAGCCUCCGGCUCAUGCCCGGCCCCUCCCGUCCCUGCCUUCCCUGUCCCUUCUGCAGCACGGGCCGGCGCCUCCGGUCCGAUGGACACUGUUCUGCCCCGGCGUCCCUUGCGUGCCUGCCAGAUCUGUGACUGCGCCCUAGCGCCCACCUGCACCCUACAGAAGCCUGCUUAGCCACCUGCCCAGCCGCCCACCUGUGGAUCUGUCGUCAUCGCUCCUCUCUCUGUGUCCCACCUGCCUGCGUCCUGUUUCCACGUGGAGCCUCUGGCCACCCGGGAUCCUCGGACAACAAACAGGCAAGGGAAGGAGGAGGGGCGCCGGCAGGGGGCCCAGCCCACGGGGCCCAGCAGGGGCAAUCGGAUUUGCCGCCAGGGGCGCCGACAGCGACGCUGACCAAGUCCAUUUUCUGCAGAGGAGACAGCCUGGUCGUGUGGGUCAGGAUUAAGUGGCACCAGUGGAGCUGGUGAGUGUGGACCCCGCUCCCUGGCACUCCUCAGGGAGGGGGCGGGGAGGCAGCUGUAGGGCCCACAGGGGCUUCAGAUCCUGGGCCCAGCCCAGCGGCUGUGAGCCACAGGGGUCUCAGAGGCGCAGGGGCCUGUGUGUGGGCCAGGCCCACCUGCCCACAGGAGUGGGUGCAGGGAGCUGGG
This 1246-nucleotide long non-coding RNA is filed under the name Oryctolagus cuniculus (rabbit). RNAcentral describes it as "lncRNA (ENSOCUG00000034685.1)". Lineage: Eukaryota; Metazoa; Chordata; Mammalia; Lagomorpha; Leporidae. The record is from RNAcentral.